This 30-nucleotide non-coding RNA is filed under the name Macaca fascicularis (crab-eating macaque). Lineage: Eukaryota; Metazoa; Chordata; Mammalia; Primates; Cercopithecidae. The record is from RNAcentral. RNAcentral also lists the same sequence under 1 other name.
UGCCAGUUGGUGGCCUGCUGGGAUGCUGGU